This is a non-coding RNA of Pimephales promelas (fathead minnow), 363 nucleotides long. The record is from RefSeq and is a predicted model, not a curated record. NCBI's taxonomy places the organism in Eukaryota, Metazoa, Chordata, Actinopteri, Cypriniformes, Leuciscidae.
UGUUAAUCCAGUGGAGGAAGUCCUAUCCCACCGUGCAGAUUUAAGAAACGAAGACGCUACAUAAGCCGCUAAUGACAUUUUUAGGUUUUCAUCCCUGAGAAGCGUUCCUGCAAGGUGAACGGAGGAUGGUGUAUUGGUUUGAUUCUCGGAUAAACUGAUAAAGCAUUGAAUUGUUCUUUGGGUUCUUUAAUGGUUUUCACUGAAAGGCUCUUUGAGGAACCAAAAUGUUACUUCCAUGGCAACGCUGCGAAAAUCCAGUUACACACACUUUUACACUUUUGUUUUUGUAAUUAUUGUACUGCAUUACACUAUAAAUGACUGUAUGAUGUGAUCACAGUGUGAAAGCAAAUGCAUAUUGUGCAA